AUGUAAUGUCAUUCCUACAACAUUAAUGUAUCAUAUCCCAUUAGAACUCCAUAGUUAAGUGUGCUUGGGAUAGAGUAAUAUUGGGAUGGGUGAUCUCCAGGGAACUCCUAGUGUUUUACAUG
Non-coding RNA from Picea glauca (white spruce), 122 nucleotides. Lineage: Eukaryota; Viridiplantae; Streptophyta; Pinopsida; Pinales; Pinaceae. The record is from Rfam.